Non-coding RNA from Callithrix jacchus (white-tufted-ear marmoset), 3655 nucleotides. The record is from RefSeq and is a predicted model, not a curated record. Lineage: Eukaryota; Metazoa; Chordata; Mammalia; Primates; Cebidae.
GUGGCGGGUCCGCCCCUUCUCCCAUCUUCCGCUCCACGCAUCUCCCUCCUCUGCUAAAGAAGGCGAAACCCACUCCUCACCCAGUUGAGCGUGUGACCUCUUUGGCUCUCAUUGGCUCAGUCAAUUAGGAUUGGAGGGUCUUGCUCUGCCACCCAGGCUGGAGAGUAGUGGUAUGAACUUGGCUCACUGCAACCUCCUUUUCUCAAGUUCAAGUGAUUCUUGUGCCUCAGCCAUCAGAGUAGCUGGGAUUACAGGCAUAAAGAAAGGACAUGCCACGUUCUGGGGAGGAGUGCGGUUUUCAAUGGGUCGCUGUGAUUUCCAGGAUACUCUAGGAAAGGCCUGAUUAUUCAGCUCACACUGAACACAAAUGACAUCUUGUUCUUCCUACUGCUAGUGAUGUGGCCUCCUGAAAAGCCUACAAAGUAUUAGUCAAUCAAGUAAGUGGAAGCCAUUUCUAACAGUAAACAUUUGUUGAGACUCACAAGACCCUGUGUGGAGCUGAAAUCACUUUUUUUCCCAUUCUAGAGGACAUUCAGGCAGGAUAUAUACUCCUGAUGCCUACAGGCACAGGAACUCAGAAUCCUUCCUGGAAGGAAACCUGCCCCUCUAGCUACUGCAGAAAGUGCCUGGGGCACAAGAAGAACAAAAAGAGGGAAAGCAACCUGUGUCUGGGGCAGGGCCACUUGGGGAGUGGAAUUUUACUGUCUCCUGAUCCUCAGAGAGGUUUUUACAAAAGUUAAAAAAAAAAGGGAACUCGGCAAACUUGCAUUUAGAAUUCUGGUUAAAACAAAGAAAAAACGGAAUCAUCAUAUUAUGAAAGACCUACCAAAUUCAACCUAUCAAGUAAAGCAGCAUAUCAUGUUUUUUCUCUCUCAUGCUUAUUUGAUGCUUACAGGUUCAGGGUAGACUUGCCGCUUUGUUUCUAAAACAUGCAGAGAGCAGACUUAGAGCAGCAUAUGCUGUUUGGGGACCAGCACGCACAAACCCUGACAGGUGACUGACCAAACGCCAUCAGGAAGGUGAUGAGCGACCACCUUUGCCGAGAGGCCAGCGCCCAGCACAAAACUAAGUACUAUUGGUGCAUGCUUGUCCAGAGCUUGGUGUGGCAGAGUGUUAUGAAGGGGAUGGGCUGGGAACACGCAGGCAACUUCCAAAAUGCUCUGAAGUCCAAUCCAUGGUCCAGAGCAGCGGGGCUGCAGCCAGGCAUGGAGCUAAGGCACUAGGGCUGCAGUGGGUGGGAGGCACCGACUAGAGGUCCCAAUGCCCUACUGUUCCCAGGGAGAGGGGAAGGGGCUCUGCUCACAAGGCUGCCUUUGUGUACAAAGUUGUUUUAAAGGAUGAGAACAUAAAAAGACAAAUCCCUGCUUUCACCCACAAGAAGAAUAUUUUGUUCUCUUCUCAGAGACAUUUACUUAAGUUUUCAAAAGUCUCAACGGCAUUGCCUAGAGCUCCACCCAGGAAGUCCCCUGAGCAACCCCCUCUUUGAGAGUCGCCUCCUCUGCUCACGUGCCUUCUUCCGUCCCAUCUUAGCGAGUUGCCUUUCUUUCCCCUGCUGUGGCUGGAUAAAGAGCAAUCCAGUCAUUUCACCGUCCCCUGUAGCAGGACCCCGUGCUUUUUCCAAGGCAGCUGGGAGUGUCCCUGCAUCACAGCUUGAUGAAGGCAGCUGGCUGGGUCUGCAGCUGCUCCACGUCUGGGGGUGGGAAGACACUGGAAAUGGCUAUGUCCACGAUGCCCUGGCACAGUUCUGCAUAGAGCUUCCUGAAAGGUGUUUUAAAAAUCAUCAUUGAGGACAUUCAUCAAAGUGCAAGCAAAAAAAGAAAUCAUUGUUUUUCGUUUGUUUUUGAAACGGGGUUUUGCUCUGUUUCCCAAGUUGGUGUGCAGUAAUGCAAUCAUGGCUCACUGAAGCCUCAAAUUCCUUGGCUCAAGGGAUCCUCCCACCUAAGCCUCUGAAGUAGCUGCCACUACAGGUGUGCACUACCAUGCCCAGCUAAUUUUUUAACUUUUUGUAGAGAUGGGGAGAAUAUUUUGUUCUCUUCUCAGAGACAUUUACUUAAGUUUUCAAAAGUCUCAACGGAAUUGCCAAGAGCUCCACCCAGGAAGUCCCCUGAGUAACCCCCUCUUUGAGAGUCGCCUCCUCUGCUCACGUGCCUUCUUCCAUCCCAUCUUUGCGAGUUGCCUUUCUUUCCCCUGCUGUGGCUGGAUAAAAAGCAAUCCAGUCAUUUCACCGUCCCCUGUAGCAGGACCCCGUGCUUUUUCCAAGGCAGCUGGGAGUGCCCCUGCAUCACAGCUUGAUGAAGGCAGCUGGCUGGGUCUGCAGCUGCUCCACGUCUGGGGGUGGGAAGACACUGGAAAUGGCUAUGUUCACGAUGCUAUGUUGCCCAUGCUGCUCUUGAACUCCUGAACUCAAGCAACCCUCUCAUCUCAGCCUCCCAAAGUGCUGGGAUUAUAGGCAUAAGCCAAUUCACUUGGGACCAUGCCUGGCAGUUUUUCCUGUUUUUGUUUUUUCAUGACCACAUUUCUAAAACUGGUUGCCCCUCUAUAUACAAAUGCUACAGAAGGCUUUGCAUGAAGAUAAAGCAUUCCCUCAGCAAACACUGAUGAAAGGCCUUGCAGGUGAACAAGACAGACAACUGGCAGGGAAGGCAGGCAACUUCAAGAGCAUGUAAGAGCCAUCCUGCAUUACAUGGAGGGGUGGGCCCUACCCAGGAAAAGGACCAACUCAGCAUAAUUGAAGGGACACUGAAGAAGACUCCCCAUUGACAGGGGAAGACUCUUCAGUGACGGCUAAGCCAAGACCCAGGGAUGAAUAGAAGGCAGACAGAUAAUGGAUGACAGGGUAGAAAUACACACACACAGUUUCUUCUGAUGAGUUAGUUUGAUGGCAGUUAGUCUAAUGAAGGAAACUGCAAAGGCUCUGGCUAGAGAAAAUCAGAGAUAGCUGUUCACGGAAAGCUUCCUCAAGAUGUUCUUUUGGUAAAGCAGAAGCCAACCAUGUUAAGACUGGUGGUGGUUGUUGUUGUUGGUGGUGGUGGUAAUGGUGGUGGGGAUUCCACACAUAGGUAACAAAUCACAAAGGUCCACUGCAGAUAAGAGCAAUCAAGGGAAAUGGUGGCUUAGGGUGAAGCUGGAGAGGUGGGUAAGGCAGUGGCCUUGCAGGUGGAGGUAGGAGUCUGGUUUGUGUCCCUGGUGUAAUGGGAAGUCUGGAGAAUGGCAUGGUCUGGUGUCCACUUUACACACUGGCUGCUCUGGGAGGAUGGAUUUCAUUGGGGCAAGAGCAGAAGUAGACCCCAGUUAGGAGGCUCUGUGCCAAAGCCUUCGUUAUGGUGGAAGAUGACCUGUGCAAGGGUGAUGGCAGUGCAAAUGGAGGGCAGAGGACUCCAGAGGCUGGAGGCAGAACCCACAGGGCCCUGAUGGACAGGACCUGAGAGGAAGGGAAGGCAGAGGCAGGAUCACUGUCAAGUUCCAGCUUAGGAUCUAAGGGGGACAGCAGGUAGCCACUGAGAUCAAAAAGUCUGGGAGGUAGGUAGGAGGACAUUCUGGCAGGGAAGGCAGAUGCAGAUACUAGUAUGCAUCUCUGGGCUGUGAUGUAAUCUGGUUAUUUUAAAACCAUGAAGUUCGAUGAGAUAACAUAGAGAAAGAGGAGCUGAACACACAG